Long non-coding RNA from Panicum virgatum (switchgrass), 4460 nucleotides. RefSeq lists it as uncharacterized. The transcript is spliced from 2 exons. The record is from RefSeq and is a predicted model, not a curated record. Lineage: Eukaryota; Viridiplantae; Streptophyta; Magnoliopsida; Poales; Poaceae.
AGCGAUCCAUGGCCUCGGCCGUACGACGACGGUACGAGAUGGUGCUACAAGCCGCCCCUAGCCGGCGCACGGCUGCAGCCUGCAGGUACCUACCAUCAGAGUUGCAGACGAGUUACAGAGGAGCUACUGGACAAUCUGAGGCAGAAUGGAGUGCGUGGCGCAAGCUGGGGCGGCUGGGAGGACGGGGAGGGAAGGGAGAGACGGCCGGAGCUCGCCGGAGCGGCAUCAGAACCUGCAGAUCGUCGACGGCCGCGUUCGCAUCGCAAGAGGCCCAGGAUUGGAUCGCGAUAUCUGCAUACUGCCGCUAGUUCCGAAUAUUUGCAUAUAGCCCUCAUAUAAUUUACAAAUAGCCCCAUACAACCCUGGAUUUUGCAUUUAGCACCCCGGUCGGGGUCGGCUCGGCCACUGGAUCGAAACCGUGUGAUUGCGGACGACGGCUGGCCGCACGGAGCCGCCGACGUGCCGCGGCGACGUCGAUCUCCUCGCGCUCGGCGCUGGCGACCCCUACUCUCCGACCUUGUCCAGCACCGGCAAAUCCUCGUGGAUUCCUCACAUCUGUUUUCUGAACUGGCUCCAUCUUCUUCGCCUCGGUCAGCAACACCCGAUCCCUCCACCAGUCCACCGGUACUGCAGUAGGAGGUACGCCCUUGUCCGUAUGUGUUUAUCAUCUGAAUUUUGUUGUAUCGAUGCAAUUCAAGCAUUCUAGUCUAGUAAAAAAAAAUGCGAUUCAAGCAUUUCCUUCUGAAAUCUUCCACAAUGUGCUCAUAUUUCUCAUGCCGUGCUGCACAGCAUGUGUUCUGCCUUCCUGCCGAGAUGUGCGGCUUAGCCUGUAGUUAUGGCUUCCAGAAUCAUAAUUAGGGAAUGGACCAAUACUGAAUUCAUGAUGGCAACAUGUGUCCCCUCCCUUUUUUCAACUAACCUAGAGAUGAGAUAAGCACAUGCCUUCAGUUUGUUUAUAUUUUCUCCAUGUUGCUUGUAUUGUGCAUUACGGUACCACCUUCAGUGGUCAGUGGUCACCCUUAUGCCUCAGACCUCAACAGCACAUAGUUCAGUUUCAGAUUUUGCUUCAGAUCUAAGAAAACCCUAGUAUUGAUAUCCGUCUCUGAAGAAUUCAUACAGAGUUGCUAUAAAAUUUGUCCUUGCGCGGAAGAGUUUUUCUCAGUGUUUCUAACAUCACAAUGACAUUUAGUUGUCAGGGUUUGAAAAAAGGAUUGAACUCAGUUUUCCAAAUUCUUAUGAUCAUUGUAUGGAAGUUCUUUCUCUAGGCUGCAGAUUUAUUUUCUAUGAUAACAUCAUAUACAAUUUCCCUUCUCCAUUUUUCUUUAGUUAAUUUUUUUCGGUCAGCUAUAAAUUACGUAAAGUCAUAGUUUUAAAAAAAAGUAAAAUCUACAUCCUGGUCCUCAAUAUUGUUGUCAUAUUAAUAUGAUGUCAGUCUGAAUGUAUAGACUCUUUCUCUUUUGAAGCCACCCUAUAGGUAUAUACGUAAUUUGAUGACCAACAUCUAAGUAAGAAUAGAACUAUAGAAGAACGUAAGUGCUUCUGCAGCAAAUGUAUGUAGGGUUACAAAUAGUUACGCAUUUGCAGGGCAGGGACAUGCAAUAUUUGAAUCACGUGUACUCUCUCAUCCAUUCAUGUCAUCUUGUACAAACCUUGACAGCAGUUUUUUCAGCAAACUUUUGAUGGUUUUCUGUACCAAACCUAGAUAUUUAUGGUCGACUUAAGUACAACUGGCUUCUGAAUUCUAGUCCCCCUAUCUUCCUUCUAUAGUAUACUUAAUUGUGUUACAAAAUAUUAGCUUGAUCGCUAUGUAUCUUCUGCAAAAAGAAACCGAGUUUAUUACUGCUGUUUUCUUCAGUGUUUGUUCAGAAUAUGCUGUAACUGAAGUUGGACAUAUGGACUUAACUACUUGUGCCAAUGUCCAUUGUUGUGAUGCAAAUAAUUCCCUGUCUACUUUUCCCAAUCACCACACUAUUAAAACAGGUAUUCAUCUUCCCAUCUUAAAGCAUCAAUGUUUAUCUGUUGUCAGUGAACAUGCAUCGGUUUAAAAAUCUUAGCACUGAAGCUCAAUGCUGACCCACAUCAAACUCAUAUUACUUUGUCAUUGUUAUCAUACCUCUGCUAAGUGGUGCAGCUUCUUGUCCAGUGUGCUAGGUCGCAGAAGCUAUUCCUUGAAAGGGAGCUUCAACACCAUGUACAUGGGUAGAUUAGGUGACAGAUUAUUUUGCAGUCUAAGAAUAGAAAAGGUUCGAUAGGUCUGUUCUAUGUUUGUUUAAUUUAAUUAUAAUUUGGCAGCUUUAAUUUUUUGUUCCUGUUUUGCUUUUACCUGUUUAUCAUAUUGAAAGUUGUGACACAAGAAAGGGCGCGCGUGACAUGCUUUCCCUUUCUCCCAUUUGUUUUAUACUUACAAGAAGCUUGCAAAAACGUUUGAUACAAGAAUGCCCCCCUUUUUUUGGCUUAAUCACAUGGCACCACUAUCAUGACUCUUUAAUCAAAGCCUCAUCAGUAACGAGCUCUAUUAUACUGCCUUGGGAGGUGAGUUUUGGUUCCUUCUGGGCACACUUGAAGCAAGUACAGCUACCCAAUAAUCCAUACUCAGUAUCUGUCAAUAUCUCCAAUGAAAGUUAAUACAACUUGUUUGUCUUUCCCAUUCAAACGCCUAUCAAGACAAAUACAACUAAGCUUCUGUUGUCAGAUGAGAAAAAAUAUCCUGAUUCCUGACAUACUCAUCAGAAUUUAGACGUCGAAACCUAAUUCCUUUUCAUCCUUUACUAAAGUUUAUUACCUAAGUAUCUUAAAACAGAAUGAAUUGAGAGUAUUUAUGCUUUUGAGAAAACGAGACAUGGUUUUUAGGUCAGCAAAACAACUGUUGACGAGACGGCAGCAUACGUGAAUCUGAGUGAGCUGAGCUUGGAGUGCAACUUGGGGUCUUGAAGUUGCUCGGAAAAAAAAACUCGGGGUCUUGAAGUUGCUCGAAAAAAAAACUUGGGGUCUUGAGGAUUCCUCCAGUGAGCUUGUUUUUGAAAGCACCCCAGUGAGCUUGUUGGCAUACAAAUCCAAGUUGCUCAGAUUCUUUAGGUUUGCCAAUUCCUUUGAGAUAUCACUGUCGCGAUUGUUUCCUGUAAAAUACAGUACAAAUUUGGUUUCCAUAUAUUCAGUCAAGUCCCACAACUUCGUUUUUCUCCCAAUUUAAACCAUAGAAAAUCUGGAAUGCAUCUACACAGUACAAACAAUGGAUUCUUCAAGAUAUUUAGGAUGUCGUUUUAUGGUUGUUAUCUGUUUAAAUUUUGAACGUCCGACAGUUCAGAAUGUAUCGUCUUCAAGUACGUUGUUAUUUUGUCAUGCUUCUAUUCCAUAACCAUAAUUGUAGAAAAUGGACUAAUAACAAGGGCACCGUUUUCUCUUCCUGAUGUUUCGUCUUAGUGAUCCAGCUUAAACUGGCAUGGCUCACCUAGAUCAACCAUCUGCAUUUGAGCUCACCAAUUGAGAACAUGCUGUCCCACCAGGCCUCUGGUUCAGUGGUUUGAAAUUGGAUGUCUGUGGUAAAAGCUGGUUCUGAAUCGAAUGAUCGAUGUGAGGGACUACUGUAUAUGUUUUUCAAAAAGGGAGAAACUUUCAGUGGGAAAAAAGAAACGACUUUCAAAUAUGAUCAUCAACACUACCACACGACUAAGUAUCACAUGUCCAUACUUUCAGUUUAGCUGACCAUAUUUUCUGUGAUGGUAUCUGUUGGACAAGGCUCCAUUGUAAAAAAAAUGACAUUAUUCUUCUAUUUUAACCCUGGUAAUAAAAUGACACCCUUUUGGUAACACAUUUUUCUUAGUUGUGAGUGUUCUAAUUUACUUUGAAACUAGGAUUAUUGAAAGUUGGCUUUCCUUUGAAUAAACAAACAAUAUACUCCCUCUGUUCUGUUUUCUAUGACGCUGGUUAGCUCAAAUUUGAGCUAAGCAGCGUCAAAUAAAAGAGAACAGAGUGAGUAAUUGAAAAGGCACAGUUUUCCUUUGAAUAAACAAAAGAUAUCCCCAAAGUUCCUGUGUAGCAAAUAACUUUGUUUGUUGUUUGGCUCCUCCAGCCAGCCAACAGUAUUUUUAUCUCACACAGCUCCAGCACCAGCCUCCAGCCACCAGCCAGCCAAUAGUGUUUUUCUCUCACACCACUCCAGCACCAGCCACCAGCACCAGCACGGCGAAUAGAGUGAAUUUGCGCUUCAAAUCUCUCAGUAUCGUCUUUUUUACUGUCUUCUUGUUUAUCAAACCGUUGAAAGCAGCUCUCCUCGAGGAAAAAAAGGGGGAAGAGCAGCACUGUUUUAUGUUUGAGAAAUAAAAAGUCCUAAGAAUAAAAAGGGCAAAAGCAGAGUUAUGGGUUAUUUUCAGAACUCAGAUGAUGUGAUCUGGGAGGGCACUAUUUGGUUUUCUGUCUUUCACUCUGGCUUGUUUACUUCCCACCCCAUAAAUCCUGUAAAC